AACGAACGCUGGCGGCAUGCCUAACACAUGCAAGUCGAACGAGACCUUCGGGUCUAGUGGCGCACGGGUGCGUAACACGUGGGAAUCUGCCCUUUGCUUCGGAAUAACAGUUAGAAAUGACUGCUAAUACCGGAUGAUGUCGAAAGACCAAAGAUUUAUCGGCAAAGGAUGAGCCCGCGUAGGAUUAGGUAGUUGGUGGGGUAAAGGCCUACCAAGCCGACGAUCCUUAGCUGGUCUGAGAGGAUGAUCAGCCGCACUGGGACUGAGACACGGCCCAGACUCCUACGGGAGGCAGCAGUGGGGAAUAUUGGACAAUGGGCGAAAGCCUGAUCCAGCAAUGCCGCGUGAGUGAUGAAGGACUUAGGGUUGUAAAGCUCUUUUACCAGGGAUGAUAAUGACAGUACCUGGAGAAUAAGCUCCGGCUAACUCCGUG
This 433-nucleotide ribosomal RNA is filed under the name uncultured bacterium. RNAcentral's name for it is "partial 16S ribosomal RNA". It matches the Rfam family "Bacterial small subunit ribosomal RNA", at positions 29 to 507 of the family's 1533-position model. The record is from RNAcentral.